CGCGCGUUCCCAUUUUGUUGGUUUCUGAGAUCGCCGUAAUGAUUAAUAGGGAUAGUUGGGGGCAUUUGUAUUCCGUCGUCAGAGGUGAAAUUCUUGGAUUGCCGGAAGACAAACUACUGCGAAAGCAUUUGCCAAGGAUGUUUUCAUUGAUCAAGAACGAAGGAAGGGGGAUCGAAAACGAUUAGAUACCGUUGUAGUCUCUUCUGUAAACUAUGCCAAUUGGGGAUCGGUACAGGAUUUUUAAUGACUGUAUCGGCACCCGAAGAGAAAUCUUUAAAUGAGGUUCGGGGGGGAGUAUGGUCGCAAGGCUGAAACUUAAAGGAAUUGACGGAAGGGCACCACCAGGUGUGGAGCCUGCGGCUUAAUUUGACUCAACACGGGGAAACUCAC
RNAcentral lists this ribosomal RNA (390 nucleotides) under fungal sp. Its description in RNAcentral is "SSU rRNA". It matches the Rfam family "Eukaryotic small subunit ribosomal RNA", at positions 827 to 1218 of the family's 1831-position model. Lineage: Eukaryota; Fungi. The record is from RNAcentral.